AACGAACGCUGGCGGCAGGCUUAACACAUGCAAGUCGAGCGCCCCGAAAGGGGAGCGGCAGACGGGUGAGUAACGCGUGGGAAUGUGCCCUUUGGUCUGGAAUAACUCAGGGAAACUUGAGCUAAUACCGGAUAAGCCCUUCGAGGGAAAGAUUUAUUGCCAUUGGAGCAGACCGCGUCAGAUUAGCUAGUUGGUGAGGUAAAAGCUCACCAAGGCGAUGAUCUGUAGCUGGCCUGAGAGGACGACCAGCCACACUGGGACUGAGACACGGCCCAGACUCCUACGGGAGGCAGCAGUGGGGAAUAUUGGACAAUGGGGGCAACCCUGAUCCAGCCAUGCCGCGUGAGUGAUGAAGGCCUUAGGGUUGUAGAGCUCGUUUACUCGGGAAGAUAAUGACUGUACCGAGAGAAUAAGCCCCGGCUACCUUCGUGCCAGCAGCCGCAGUAA
Molecule: ribosomal RNA, 447 nt
Filed under: uncultured bacterium
Lineage: Bacteria
Description: partial 16S ribosomal RNA
Rfam family: Bacterial small subunit ribosomal RNA
Source: RNAcentral